Oryza meridionalis is the source of this 207-nucleotide non-coding RNA. The record is from Rfam. Lineage: Eukaryota; Viridiplantae; Streptophyta; Magnoliopsida; Poales; Poaceae.
UUUAAGUGCAGUUAUGGGUUUCUAUGUCCAACAUUUGAUCAUUCGUCUUAUUUAAAAAUUUUUGUAUGAUUAGUAUUUUUAUUGUUAUUAGAUGAUAAAAUAUGAAUAUUACUUCAUGCGUGACAUAUUUUUUUUAGUUUUUCAUAAAUUUUUGAAAUAAAACGGAUGGGCAAACGUUGGACAUAGAAACCCAUAACUGCACUUAAA